RNAcentral lists this ribosomal RNA (253 nucleotides) under uncultured bacterium. Its description in RNAcentral is "partial 16S ribosomal RNA". It matches the Rfam family "Bacterial small subunit ribosomal RNA", at positions 91 to 339 of the family's 1533-position model. The record is from RNAcentral.
UUGAGUGGCGAACGGGUGAGUAAUACAUAAGCAACCUGCCCCUGUGAGGGGGAUAACUGCUGGAAACGGCAGCUAAGACCGCAUAGGCAUACAUGACGCAUGUCGAGUAUGUUAAAUAUCCUACGGGAUAGCACAGGGAUGGGCUUAUGACGCAUUAGCUAGCUGGUGAGGUAGAGGCUCACCAGGGCGACGAUGCGUAGCCGGCCUGAGAGGGUGGACGGCCACACUGGGACUGAGACACGGCCCAGACUCC